This 245-nucleotide ribosomal RNA is filed under the name uncultured Staphylococcus sp. RNAcentral's name for it is "partial 16S ribosomal RNA". It matches the Rfam family "Bacterial small subunit ribosomal RNA", at positions 96 to 334 of the family's 1533-position model. Lineage: Bacteria; Bacillati; Bacillota; Bacilli; Caryophanales; Staphylococcaceae. The record is from RNAcentral.
CGGCGGACGGGUGAGUAACACGUGGAUAACCUACCUAUAAGACUGGGAUAACUUCGGGAAACCGGAGCUAAUACCGGAUAAUAUAUUGAACCGCAUGGUUCAAUAGUGAAAGACGGUUUUGCUGUCACUUAUAGAUGGAUCCGCGCCGCAUUAGCUAGUUGGUAAGGUAACGGCUUACCAAGGCAACGAUGCGUAGCCGACCUGAGGGGGGUGAUCGGCCACACUGGAACUUAGACACGGUCCAG